RNAcentral lists this long non-coding RNA (5326 nucleotides) under Sus scrofa (pig). Its description in RNAcentral is "lncRNA (ENSSSCG00000063278.1)". Lineage: Eukaryota; Metazoa; Chordata; Mammalia; Artiodactyla; Suidae. The record is from RNAcentral.
UGGUGAAACUAACUAUGGUACAUCCUACCUUAGAAUAAAACCCAGCAUAAAAAGGAACAACUUUUUGACACAUGCAAAAACUUGGAUGGCUAUCAAGGGAACUGGGCUGAAUUUUAAAAAAUCAAUCCCCAAAGGUUACAUAGGCUACAGCUUCAUUUAUAUAACAUUCUGGAAACAACAAAAAUAUAGCAAUAGAGAACAGGUUGCCAUGGGUGGGCUGGUGGGGGAGGAGCAAGAGGGAGAUAGGUGGGGUUAUUCAAAGGCAACACAAGAGAUAGUGAGUGAUACACAAACCUUCACACGUGAUAAAAUAGCAUAGAAACACACACACACACACACACACACACACGACAAAGGAAAUAUAAAUAAGAUCUGGGAAUUAGACCAACGUCAAUAGCCUGACUCUGAUAUUGUACCAAGUUUUGCAAGAUGCCACCACUGGGAAACUGGGUAAAGAGCUCGUGAUAGCUCUCUGUGUUAUUUCUUACCAUUGCAUGUGAAUCUAUAACUACUCAAAAUAAAGUGUUCAAUUAAAUUUUAAAUAUUAAAUGUAAUCUGGUAUUUUCAUACCAGCUACUUUAACCUUGGUGUAGGGAGAAAGAGUUCAGGUGUGAAGCCACAGAAAGAACAGUGUGGGAGCCUGGAAAAAGGUGAAAGCAGAGGACAAAAGCAAAGGCUGGAGUUAUUUCUGCACGUGUGUGUGUGUGUGUGUGAAGGGAAGGUAUGACCAGGGGUUAUUUUGGGGUGCCAGGACAGGGUGGGGAGGGAUCUCUUAGCAGUGGAUAUGCCCUGUGUGCUAGUAAGGAGGCUUCUAGAUGCAAAGAAGGCAAACAGAUGGCAGCUCCUUAUGGAGCCCAAAUUCCAACCAUGAGGUUUUUUUAAGUUCAAUAACUCAAACAGACACCAUUAGAUAGAGUUAGAAUCACUCCAGCGCUGGAACCCAAUCUUUGUGUGUGUAAUGGCUCCAAACCGUAGAGAACAGUGGAUUAUCUUCAGGUGGCUAUGAAUGGGGCUGUUUUAGUCACCACAACUUCAACUGUGCUUCUGUUGGUUAUCAAACUGCAAUGGCCUUCAUCCCCUUAGACCUUGGGUGGGCUCCGUGGACCCUGAAGACUGGGUUUCCUCUGGGCCUCACCCCAUCCCAGAGCCAGAUGGGCACAGAAGGGACAAACAACAGCACACUGACUGGUUGGAGCAGGGCUAGGAGUCCAAGAGGUUAGUGAGGAAAAACAAAACAACUUUAGGACUUUAGGUUCUGUUCAAGGCUGCAACCUUCAAUACUGAUUUCUUAAUAGCAAUGCACGGCCUCUACCUUACUGGUCCCUUAACCCCACUUUGGAAAGCAAGUUCUACUGCAUGUGUUUCCUAAUAGCUCUAGUUCUGAUUAUCUGUCAUCUUGGUUCAUUCGCUGUCCUUCCAGCACUCACUGUGGUCCUGUAUUUCAAAGGCACUUGAUGCCCUUUAUUUAGAUGUCUUAAUGAACCUCUAACCAGGCAUUUCAGCUUGAACAAUGAGAUCUAUUUUGUUCCCUUUCCAGAUGGCCCACCAGAGUAAAAUAGAUGGCUUGGGGUAAAUAUGGAAAAAAGAUGAGUUUUGGGGCCAGAUAUAUCUGUGCUUGCCAACUCUGUGAUUUCAUCAAGCUUGUCUCUGAAUCUGCAUGGCAAAAGGGUUAAAAGAACAGGCUUUAGGAUCGGAUCACUUGAUUUGAAUCCCAGGACCACCGCACACAGCCGGGGUGUCCUUGGAUCAAUUAGUGAAUGUCUUUAAACCUCUGUUUUUUCACCUGUCAAAGAGUUAUCUUCACAGCUAAUCAUCCUCCUUCCUUACUAAUAAACCCUUAGUUUUCAGCUGUGCACAUGGCCUUCUAAAUCAAGACCCUAUCUUUUCAGCCUCCUCUGAGCUGGGUGUGGCCAUGUGGCCAUGUGACCAUGUUCUGAAACACCAUGUGCCGUUUCUGGGAAGUGUACUUAAAGGAAGGGUGUAUGCUCGUCUUCACCUCUUCCUUCAUCUUGUUUCCUGGAAGGCAGGAGCUAAGCAGUUAUCUCAGACUCUUAACAUGAGGGCCACACUCUAGGGCUGGCAGAGCUGAAAGCGAAAAGAAGCCGCUGUCUCUGAACAGUUCCAACUUUUACUUUUUUUUUUUUUUUUUUUUUUUGUCUUUUUGUCUUUUCUGGGGCUGCUCCCGAGGCAUAUGGAGGUUCCCAGAAAAGGCAAAAAAAAAAAAGAAAGAGAGAGAGACUGUUUUGCCAAACUUUGAAUCUGGGCUGGCCUUGUUAUUGGCCUUAACCAAUAAAAUGUGGCAGAUGUGUAAGUUGUGAAGCCUGGAUUCAAGAAAUCCUGCAGCUCCUGCUUUUGUCCUCAUGGGCCACUAUCCUGAGAGACUAUGACGUAAGGCAGUCAGCUGAGUCUACUGGAGGAUGAGAAGCCAAGUGAAGAACCAAGGCACCCUGAGCCAACAGUGUGCACUAAUGGCCAUAAUGAUUAGUCCAAAUGUAUCCAAAAUUUGUCCUUACCCCUGUCCUAUCUCACAUGUGAAUCCAUCCUCUGUCUCUAUGUGUGAUGCCAGAGAUAAGCCCAUGUCUACUUUCCCAGUGAGGAUCUUCCUCGUUUAUUAAUACAGCUCCACCUUGUUAAGCUAAGGGUGUUCUGUGCAGAAGCCUGCCAAAUGCUUGUCUCAGUCCAUUCAGCUGCUAUAGCAAAAUGCUAUAGACUGGGUGGCAUAUAAACCACAGAAAUUCAUUUCUCACAGUUCUGGAGAGAAAAAGCCUGAGAUCAAGGUGCCAGCAUGAUCCAGGGAGGACUCCCUGCCAAGUCAGAUUUUUGUAUUCUCACAUGGAAGAAAGGGCUAGGUUAUUACUCUGGGGCCUCUUUUAUUAAAAGGGCACUAAUCCUGGAGAAAACACUUAUGGUUGCCAAGGGGGAGGGGGAGGGAGUUGGAUGGCCUGGGAGCCUGGGGUUAGUAGAUGCAAACUACUGCACUUGGAGAGGAUAAGCAAUGAGAUCCUGCUGUAUAGCACAAGGAACUAUAUCUAGUCACUUGUGAUGGAACAGGAUGGAGGAUAAUGUGAGAAAAAGAAUGUGUAUAUAUGUAUGACUGGGUCACUUUGCUGUACAGCAGGAAUUGACAGAACAUUGCAGAUCAACCAAUAAAUUAAAAAACAGGGCACUAAUCCUAUUAUGAGGGCUCUGACCUUUUAACCUAAUCACCUCCCAAAGCCCCCCCCCCCUUCUAAUACAAUCAUACUGGGCUUUAGGAUUUAACAUAUGAAUUUCAAGAAAGGCAAACAUUCAGACCACAGCAAACCUAACUAGCGUCCGCCUGCACACAGAGCCGGGUCUAUAGAGAUAACUAGAGGCUUUGGUGUGUAUUUUUUAAAAUAAAGAUGCAGAUAUUUAUCCAUAGUCACAUAUAUAGUACAUUAACAUAUCAAUGACGGGGAAGGUGACCAGGUUUUAAAUGAUCAUAUCUAUUUUUAAACCAGCAUUUUUUAUCAGCCAUUUAGAUUUCAGGGCACAUUUUACUUCUCAUUUCACUUGACACAUGAGAAAAUUGUUGCAAGCUAGUUGAGCUGUAAGGUGAACUUGACUAUGAUAAUGGGACCCAGCUCAGCAAAGACAGCAAGAUCAGUUGACCAGCGUUCUGUUCUCAGAACAGAAGAUCAAUCUGGGCCUUUCUUCAGUUCUGAACUCUGGGGCAGGUCAUGGUGGCACCACAAGGCUCCCUCAACCAGCCAGGAAACAUUGGCCCAGACCUCCCCUGAGCUCAAGGCAAGAGGCUGCCAGUGUGGUCUUGGGUUGAUCCCUAACGGCCACAUGGAUCUGUAAUUGACUUUUCUUGGUGAGUCAAAGAAAUUAUGUUACUAAGAACAUAAGCACCUGCCAGAAGCUGAGACGCUGUCCCUGGAGAUAGAAGUUCUUGUGAAAAUCAAGAAUAAAGGGAAUAGGAACAAGGGAAAAUGAGGCCAGCAAUAGAAAAUACGUGGAACUAGAAGACAGUUUCUUGUUUGAUCUGACUUCAGACUGGUUGUUUGGGGCCUUGGGGGAAAAAAAAUCACUCAGUGUUUGUUUUUGAACCUCGCUUCCUCCACUGUAAAAUCAGAGGUGCCCUUCCAACCUUGUGGGGGUUAUUAGAAGCUAAAAUGAGACCAUGUGUAAGAAAGGGUGUUAAGAGAAUGAAAGGCUUAGCAGUGAAACAAACAAGCCGACCUGCCUUUCUUUUCAGCCUCAACGCAGAACAGACUCCAGGCUAUAGUCAGACCAGCUUUUCCCAUGCAAGUUGUUGUGGUUCCUGACGUGUUGAUACUUGUGCAGAGCUUAUGCAUUGUUUCAAAAGAAAGCUCCUUUUAUUGUGACAUUGUGAAAUCGUUGCCCUAGCAAACGAUUAUAGCUAAAAGCGUACGAUUCCUGAUCUGAACACCAAAAUUUCCCUAAGAGCGUGCCAAGGAGGGCUUAUUUCAAGGGACAGAUGAGCUCGAAGGAACAAAUGGGGUUGGGGCCAGAAAUGGAGAGAUUCUUGCUAGAAACAGAGUUGGAACCAAGCCCAAGAAGGCCUGAGAAAGAAGCCAGAGUGUCUCAAGAGGGAUGGUGGGUGGGGCUGCAGGAAGAGGGGGAAUACACUGAGAAGAGGCACAUCAGAGUUUUAAAGGGCUUAUGCAUCCACCAUUUCACUGACUUCUCACAAGAACCCUACGUUGCGUGUAUCAUGUUGACCCUCAUGAACCUGCCAUACCAGCUCAGAGAGGUUAAGCAGCUUUCACAAGGCCACACAGUUAAGCAGCAGAGCGUGGCAGGGAAAUGAAGUGAGGUAGUUUGGGAAGUGAGCACAUUUGAACUUUUUCCCGCACAACUUCUCCAGGCCUUUGCUUUUCACUGUCAUAUGUUGCUAAGGACCCACACCAGCCUCAAGAGAGGAGUGAGUUGUAAAUGGCAUUUGAAGGUCUAGCAGGGCCAGAGUUUCAAUGGACAGGCACACACACACAAAAAAACCUGCCUUUAAAAAAAAAAAUCCUUAACUCCUCAUUUAUCACCAAACCAAACUCCAUUUGUGGGUCUCCUAGGGCUGCUCGGCCCCACCUGUGCUCCGGCUUCAGCAGCUGCUUCUAAUAAUCCUGGGUGAACACGGGGCCUCUGCCUGCUUUUCAGGUGCCUGAUGCCAGGACCAAUCUGGAUAAGUGAAAUGUGGGGCUCAGGAUCCAGCUUCCCCAGGGGACUGCUUGGAGGAGACAGGCCACACAGUCAGAGCUGUGGGGGCAUGAGCACGCCAUGGAGAGAACCGUGACCCAGGAAAGGCAGGAGAUAGAAAAGCGCCAGGAAAUCAAGUCCUUUU